Molecule: long non-coding RNA, 1404 nt
Filed under: Nothobranchius furzeri (turquoise killifish)
Lineage: Eukaryota; Metazoa; Chordata; Actinopteri; Cyprinodontiformes; Nothobranchiidae
Description: lncRNA (ENSNFUG00015025314.1)
Source: RNAcentral
AUGAUUACUCUGUCUUGGGUAGCUCUAGCUUUAACCUGUUUUGAUCCUGUGAUUUUUCUAGUUCCGAUUCGCUUACCAGUGCCUAUGAAGUUCUGCUUGAUUUCUGUCGCCAGAGGAAACCCUGAUUAUCCUUCCCUGCUCUGCUCCAGGUUUCUCUCCACACUCCACCACCUCCAUAACCAACUUGGACUCCUGCACACCAGAUCACGCUGUCUCCUCCCCUGGCCGCUCACUCUCAGCCACUCACCUGCCUUCACCAAACCGCUGCUCCUACCUCCUCUCUGGACCAACAGUCCCAUCACCUUCUGGAGCUUUCCUGCUCACCUGGACCUGACCAAUCCCUCCGGAAGAUCUCACCACCCACUGCAAUCAAGUUCCAUCCUGAAAACUUGCUGCCAGCCUGCCCGUCGUCUGUUCCCGUUCCUAUCAUUGCUCCUCAGUAUAUAAUAAAGUUGUUUUACUUACUUACCGGUUCCUGUGUGGUGAUUCUGCAUGUCGUGGGUCAAAAGACUGCCGCCCGCCAUAACAAUUUUCAAAAUGGCAUGAGCUAAGAUUGUUACUGCUGCAAAGAACAACAAUAUUAUUAUUAUUAUUAUUAUUAUUAUUAUUAUUAUUAUAGUAAAUGGCCUGUAUUAGUACAGCUCCUUCUUAGGGUACUACAACCCCCUAAGGCAGCGGUUCCCAAACUUAUUUAGCCGCGCACCCCCUUCUAUGUCCCGACCAUGUCGACUCACCCCGCCCCCACAUCAGGGCAUGGCUAUAUAUAUAUAUAUAUAUAUAUAUAUCAGAUGUCAAGCUACACAGACAGGGUUAAAAAAUAUGAUCGACCUUUUUCCCCAUCACUUUCAUUUUUUAAAUAGUAAUUAAUAAACAUUCGAUACCAUUACAAUUUCCUUUGAUUUCAUUUUGAAUAAAUAUUUAGAGUGCACAGGUAGCACAUAAACAAUGCAAUUUAAUGGUUUUCUUAAAGUAGGAACGUUUAACCUGUGCGGCCAGAGCGCUCUCCUUCCUUCUGCUCUGCGUAAACCUGAGCUGAUCACCUACUUGUGACUUGUGCGUAAUCAAAUGUCUGUACGGGAAAAGAUGGAAAUGCCAUGAGGUUCACUUUUGCCUCAGACCGACUUAUUGCUGUUUUAUGGUGUGGCUGAAUCUGCGAUCCGCUGCCACACGGACUAACAAAUGCUGCAGUAAGGAGUAGUGGGUCAGGUUCAUGAGGAGUCACUGGCUGUAGCGGACCCGACUUUAAUACGUCAUCCCAAAAUAGAAGCUAAUAUCUUAAUUUGACCUUGAAUGAAAAAUAACCUCUUAAAAGUUUUUAUCACGGUGGAGGCAGCGUUCAUUUCUGCCUUCAGUCUGACGGCGCGCCGGAGUUAAAGCAGCGUGUGCGCUUAUUGAAUCUGUGUG